RNAcentral lists this transfer RNA (67 nucleotides) under human gut metagenome. It matches the Rfam family "tRNA". From Rfam's summary of the family: Transfer RNA (tRNA) molecules are approximately 80 nucleotides in length. Their secondary structure includes four short double-helical elements and three loops (D, anti-codon, and T loops). Further hydrogen bonds mediate the characteristic L-shaped molecular structure. tRNAs have two regions of fundamental functional importance: the anti-codon, which is responsible for specific mRNA codon recognition, and the 3' end, to which the tRNAs corresponding amino acid is attached (by aminoacyl-tRNA synthetases). tRNAs cope with the degeneracy of the genetic code in two manners: having more than one tRNA (with a specific anti-codon) for a particular amino acid; and 'wobble' base-pairing, i.e. permitting non-standard base-pairing at the 3rd anti-codon position. RNAcentral also lists the same sequence under 2 other names. The record is from RNAcentral.
AGGCGUAGUUUAGUGGUAAAACAUCAGCUUCCCAAGCUGAGGUUGCGAGUUCGAUUCUCGUCGCCUG